CGCAAUUGCGCCGUCUGGAGAUGAGUCUGCGUUCCAUUAGCUAGUUGGUGGGGUAAAGGCCUACCAAGGCAACGAUGGAUAGCCGGCCUGAGAGGGUGAACGGCCACAUUGGGACUGAGACACGGCCCAAACUCCUACGGGAGGCAGCAGCUAAGAAUCUUCCGCAAUGGACGAAAGUCUGACGGAGCGACGCCGCGUGGAUGAUGAAGGCCGAAAGGUUGUAAAAUCCUUUUAUAGAGGAGGAAUAAUUCCAGGAGUGGAAUGCCUGGAAGAUGACGUUAAUCUAUGAAUAAGCCCCGGCCAAUUACGUGCCAGCAGCCGCGGUAAUACGUAAGGGGCGAGCGUUGUUCGGAAUUAUUGGGCGUAAAGGGCUUGUAGGCGGUUUUAUAAGCUAGAUGUGAAAGAUCCAGGCUUAACCUGGGAAGCGCGUUUAGAACUGUAAGACUAGAGUUCAUAGGGGGAAACCGGAAUUCCUGGUGUAGGGGUGAAAUCUGUAGAUAUCAGGAAGAACACCAAAGGCGAAGGCAGGUUUCUAUGAAUGGACUGACGCUGAGGAGCGAAAGUGUGGGGAGCGAACAGGAUUAGAUACCCUGGUAGUCCACACUGUAAACGAUGUGCACUAGGCGUAUGGGGGUUACCCUGUGUGCCGGAGCUAACGCGUUAAGUGCACCGCCUGGGGAGUAUGCUCGCAAGGGUGAAACUCAAAGGAAUUGACGGGGGCCCGCACAAGCGGUGGAGCAUGUGGUUUAAUUCGACGAUACGCGAGGAACCUUACCAGAGCUUGACAUGUACUUGAAGUCAUAAGAGAUUAUGAUGUCCAGCAAUGGACAGGUACACAGGUGCUGCAUGGUUGUCGUCAGCUCGUGUCGUGAGAUGUUGGGUUAAGUCCCGCAACGAGCGCAACCCCUACUGUCUGUUACCAGCAUUUUGGAUGGGGACUCAGGCAGAACUGCCGGUGACAAACCGGAGGAAGGUGGGGAUGACGUCAAAUCAUCAUGGCCCUUAUGUCCUGGGCUACACACGUGCUACAAUGGUCGGUACAAAGCGUAGCAAGACGGCGACGUCAAGCAAAUCGCAAAAAACCGAUCUCAGUUCGGAUUGGAGUCUGAAACUCGACUCCAUGAAGUUGGAAUCGCUAGUAAUCGCGCAUCAGAAUGGCGCGGUGAAUACGUUCCCGGGCCUUGUACACACCGCCCGUCACACCACCCGAGUUGGGGAUACCCGAAGUCGCUAGUCUAACUUCGUGAGGACGGCGCCGAAGGUAUGCUUGGUAAGGGGGGUGAAGUCGAACAAGGUA
RNAcentral lists this ribosomal RNA (1297 nucleotides) under metagenome. RNAcentral's name for it is "bacterial SSU rRNA". It matches the Rfam family "Bacterial small subunit ribosomal RNA", at positions 208 to 1498 of the family's 1533-position model. The record is from RNAcentral.